Molecule: ribosomal RNA, 497 nt
Filed under: uncultured bacterium
Lineage: Bacteria
Description: partial 16S ribosomal RNA
Rfam family: Bacterial small subunit ribosomal RNA
Source: RNAcentral
GAUGAACGCUGGCGGCGUGCCUAAUACAUGCAAGUCGAGCGAACAGACGAGGAGCUUGCUCCUCUGACGUUAGCGGCGGACGGGUGAGUAACACGUGGAUAACCUACCUAUAAGACUGGGAUAACUUCGGGAAACCGGAGCUAAUACCGGAUAAUAUAUUGAACCGCAUGGUUCAAUAGUGAAAGACGGUUUUGCUGUCACUUAUAGAUGGAUCCGCGCUGCAUUAGCUAGUUGGUAAGGUAACGGCUUACCAAGGCGACGAUGCGUAGCCGACCUGAGAGGGUGAUCGGCCACACUGGAACUGAGACACGGUCCAGACUCCUACGGGAGGCAGCAGUAGGGAAUCUUCCGCAAUGGGCGAAAGCCUGACGGAGCAACGCCGCGUGAGUGAUGAAGGUCUUCGGAUCGUAAAACUCUGUUAUUAGGGAAGAACAAAUGUGUAAGUAACUAUGCACGUCUUGACGGUACCUAAUCAGAAAGCAACGGCUAACUACGUG